UUGCACCAUUUUAUUUAGUAUGCAACGUGAUCUCAUGACUCGUGUAAAUAUACACAUCACUUUUAAUUGGCGUGUUAUCUUUAUGCAUUAUAAGCUUUCCGCAUGUACUGUAUGUU
Sphaeramia orbicularis (orbiculate cardinalfish) is the source of this 116-nucleotide long non-coding RNA. RefSeq lists it as uncharacterized. Lineage: Eukaryota; Metazoa; Chordata; Actinopteri; Kurtiformes; Apogonidae. The transcript has 3 exons. The record is from RefSeq and is a predicted model, not a curated record.